UACCUGCAGCUCAAGUGGUGACCACUAUUAUUGGGCCUAAAACGUUCGUAGCCGGUUUAUUAAAUGCUUGGGUAAAUCGUGUAGCUUAACUAUACGAAUUCCGGGUAGACUGAUAGACUUGAGACCGGGAGAAGCUAGAGGUACUCCUGGGGUAGAGGUGAAAUUCUGUAAUCCUGGGGGGACCACCAGUGGCGAAGGCGUCUAGCUAGAACGGGUCUGACGGUGAGGAACGAAGCCCUGGAGCGCAAACCGGAUUGGAUACCCGGGUAGUCCAGGGUGUAAACGCUGCUUGCUUGAUGUUAGUUGGGCUCCGAGCCCAAUUAGUGUCGGAGAGAAGUUGUUAAGCAAGCUGCCUGGGAAGUACGAUCGCAAGAUUAGAAACUUAAAGGAAUUGGGCGGGGGAGCACAGCAACGGGUGGAGCGUGUCGGUUU
Molecule: ribosomal RNA, 432 nt
Filed under: uncultured archaeon
Lineage: Archaea
Description: bacterial SSU rRNA
Rfam family: Archaeal small subunit ribosomal RNA
Source: RNAcentral